UUCAUGACAGAUGUGACCAAAUUUAUAAGUGGAUGCAUGGCAUGCCUUUCUGCAAUGGUUCAACUUGAACUACCUCAUGUUAAUAUCCUCUCAAAGAUGGACCUUGUGACUAACAAGAAAGAUCUUGAUGAGUAAUCACUGUCACUAAAUUUUCUUUCCCAAAUUUGUUGAUAUUUUCGUUCAUUCAAGUUUUAAUAUACUUUUGCUCUUAGUUUUUUGGAUCCAGAGCCCACCCUUUUACUGUCUGAAUUGAAUCAAUGGAUGGGUCCUCUAUGCAAAGCUGAAUAAAGCUUUGACUGAAUUGGUUAAUAACUAUAGCAUGGUGAGUUUUAUACCACUAGACUUGAGGAAGGAAAAAAGCGGAGAUAAUUGAGCUCGUGCGUGUGCAUCAUAGACUGGUGUUGGAUAUCUACCA
This is a long non-coding RNA of Vigna radiata var. radiata (mung bean), 415 nucleotides long. RefSeq lists it as uncharacterized. The record is from RefSeq and is a predicted model, not a curated record. The transcript has 3 exons. NCBI's taxonomy places the organism in Eukaryota, Viridiplantae, Streptophyta, Magnoliopsida, Fabales, Fabaceae.